GAUGAAGAACGUAGCGAAAUGCGAUACUUGGUGUGAAUUGCAGAAUCCCGUGAACCAUCGAGUCUUUGAACGCAAGUUGCCCCCGAAGCCAUCAGGUUGAGGCACGUCUGCCUGGGCGUCACAUAUCGUUGCCCAAUGCCUAUUGCAGUGCAAUAGGAAUUUCUAGGGCGAAUGAUGGCUUCCCGUGAGCGUUGUUGCCUCGCGGUUGGUUGAAAAUCGAGUCCUUGGUAGGGUGUGCCAUGGUAGAUGGUGGUCGAGUUAGAACGAUACCGAUCAUGUGCAUGCUCCCCAAAAUAUGGCCUCUAUGACCCACACGCGUCUUUUGACGCUCAUGACGAGACCUCAGGUCAGGCGGGGCUACCCGCUGAAUUUAAGCAUAUCAAUAAGCGGAGGA
Molecule: unclassified non-coding RNA, 394 nt
Filed under: soil metagenome
Description: partial contains 5.8S ribosomal RNA, internal transcribed spacer 2, and large subunit ribosomal RNA
Rfam family: 5.8S ribosomal RNA (bases 1-121)
Source: RNAcentral